UACAGAGGUGCCGAGCGUUAGGCGGAAUCACUGGGCUUAAAGCGUGUGUAGGCGGGCGAUCAAGUACCUUGUGAAAUCCCACGGCUCAACCGUGGAACCGCUGGGGAUACUGGUUGGCUUGAGCCGGGUAGGGGCGAGCGGAACAGACGGUGUAGCGGUGAAAUGCGUAGAUAUCGUCUGGAACGCCGAAGGUGAAAACAGCUCGCUGGGGCCGCGCUGACGCUGAGACACGAAAGCCAGGGGAGCGAACGGG
RNAcentral lists this ribosomal RNA (253 nucleotides) under uncultured bacterium. Its description in RNAcentral is "partial 16S ribosomal RNA". It matches the Rfam family "Bacterial small subunit ribosomal RNA", at positions 524 to 776 of the family's 1533-position model. The record is from RNAcentral.